ACUCCUACGGGAGGCAGCAGUAGGGAAUCUGCCGCAAUGGACGAUAGUCUGACGGAGCAACGCCGCGUGAGUGAUGAUGGCUUACGGGUCGUAAAAAUAUCUAGUUAGGGCAGAACAAGUGCUAGUUGAAUACGGUGGCACCUUUACCGUACCUAACCAGAAAGCCACGGCUAACUACGUGCCAGCAGCCGCGGUAAU
This 198-nucleotide ribosomal RNA is filed under the name uncultured Bacillus sp. RNAcentral's name for it is "partial 16S ribosomal RNA". It matches the Rfam family "Bacterial small subunit ribosomal RNA", at positions 335 to 524 of the family's 1533-position model. The record is from RNAcentral. Lineage: Bacteria; Bacillati; Bacillota; Bacilli; Caryophanales; Bacillaceae.